AGAGUUUGAUCCUGGCUCAGGACGAACGCUGGCGGCGUGCUUAACACAUGCAAGUCAAGGAGAACGAAUCCUUCGGGAUACUAUUAAACUGGCGAACGGGUGAGUAACACGUAGGCAACCUACCUCAGAGAUUGGGAUAACUUCGGGAAACCGGAGCUAAUACCGAAUAAUGCAGCGGAUCCUUCGGGAUAUGUUGUUAAAGUGGGCUUCGGCUCACACUUUGAGAUGGGCCUGCGUCCGAUUAGCUUGUUGGUGAGGUAAUGGCUUACCAAGGCGAUGAUCGGUAGCUGGUCUGAGAGGAUGAUCAGCCACACUGGGAUUGAGAUACGGCCCAGACUCCUACGGGAGGCAGCAGUGGGGAAUUUUGCGCAAUGGACGAAAGUCUGACGCAGCAACGCCGCGUGAUCGAUGAAGCUUCUAGGAGUGUAAAGAUCUGUCGUGAGGGAAGAAAAAUCUGGAUGUAAAUAAUGUUCAGACGUGACGGUACCUCACAAGAAAGCACCGGCUAACUUCGUGCCAGCAGCCGCGGUAAUACGAGGGGUGCUAGCGUUGUCCGGAAUUACUGGGCGUAAAGGGUUCGUAGGCGUCUUGCCAAGUUGAUCGUUACAGCCACCGGCUUAACCGGUGAUCUGCGAUCAAAACUGGUAAGAUAGAAUAUGUGAGGGGAAUGUGGAAUUCCUGGUGUAGCGGUGACAUGCGUAGAUAUCAGGAGGAACACCAAUGGCGAAGGCAGCAUUCUGGCACAAUAUUGACGCUGAGGGACGAAAGCGUGGGUAGCGAACAGGAUUAGAUACCCUGGUAGUCCACGCCGUAAACGAUGAGUACUUGAUGGUGGAGGAUUCGAUCCCUUCACUGUCGGAGCUAACGCGU
Molecule: ribosomal RNA, 870 nt
Filed under: marine metagenome
Description: bacterial SSU rRNA
Rfam family: Bacterial small subunit ribosomal RNA
Source: RNAcentral